RNAcentral lists this ribosomal RNA (255 nucleotides) under uncultured bacterium. RNAcentral describes it as "partial 16S ribosomal RNA". It matches the Rfam family "Bacterial small subunit ribosomal RNA", at positions 524 to 776 of the family's 1533-position model. The record is from RNAcentral.
UACGGGGGGAGCAAGCGUUGUUCGGGUUUACUGGGCGUAAAGGGCGCGUAGGCGGCCACCGCAAGUCAGUUGUGAAAGCUCUGGGCUUAACCCAGAAAGGUCAGCUGAUACUGCGGGGCUAGAGUGCAGAAGGGGCAACUGGAAUUCUCGGUGUAGCGGUGAAAUGCGUAGAUAUCGAGAGGAACACCUGCGGCGAAGGCGGGUUGCUGGGCUGACACUGACGCUGACAGCGCGAAAGCUAGGGGAGCGAACGGG